This 253-nucleotide ribosomal RNA is filed under the name uncultured bacterium. RNAcentral's name for it is "partial 16S ribosomal RNA". It matches the Rfam family "Bacterial small subunit ribosomal RNA", at positions 524 to 776 of the family's 1533-position model. The record is from RNAcentral.
UACGAAGGGGGCUAGCGUUGCUCGGAAUCACUGGGCGUAAAGCGCACGUAGGCGGGUCUUUAAGUCAGGGGUGAAAUCCUGGAGCUCAACUCCAGAACUGCCUUUGAUACUGAGGAUCUCGAGUCCGGAAGAGGUGAGUGGAACUGCGAGUGUAGAGGUGAAAUUCGUAGAUAUUCGCAAGAACACCAGUGGCGAAGGCGGCUCACUGGUCCGGUACUGACGCUGAGGUGCGAAAGCGUGGGGAGCAAACAGG